Molecule: ribosomal RNA, 830 nt
Filed under: Brachionus quadridentatus brevispinus
Lineage: Eukaryota; Metazoa; Rotifera; Eurotatoria; Ploima; Brachionidae
Description: SSU rRNA
Rfam family: Eukaryotic small subunit ribosomal RNA
Source: RNAcentral
AAUCAGUUAUGGUUCCUUAGAUCGUUCAUACUACAUGGAUAACUGUGGUAAUUCUAGAGCUAAUACAUGCAAAAAGCUCCGACCGUAUGGGAAGAGCGCUUUUAUUAGACCAAAACCAAUGGGGUCGCAAGAUCCCUUUGUAUGGUGACUCUGGAUAACUUUGUGCUGAUCGCAUGGCCUAGAGCCGGCGACGUAUCUUUCAAGUGUCUGCCCUAUCAACUUUCGAUGGUAAGCGAUUUGCCUACCAUGGUUGUAACGGGUAACGGGGAAUCAGGGUUCGAUUCCGGAGAGGGAGCAUGAGAAAUGGCUACCACAUCUACGGAAGGCAGCAGGCGCGCAAAUUACCCACUCCUAGAACGGGGAGGUAGUGACGAAAAAUAACAAUACCGGACUCAAUGAGGCUCGGUAAUUGAAAUGAGUACAGUUUAAAACCCUUAACGAGGAUCUAUUGGAGGGCAAGUCUGGUGCCAGCAGCCGCGGUAAUUCCAGCUCCAAUAGCGUAUAUUAAAGUUGUUGCAGUUAAAAAGCUCGUAGUUGGAUCUCGGGUACUAGCAUGUGGUACGCUUAAUUGCUGUUACUACAUGUCUGGUCCUAAUCAACCGGUUGGCCGUUGAUGUCCUUUAUUGGGUGUUUUCGGUAGCCGGUACGUUUACUUUGAGAAAAUUAGAGUGCUUAAAGCAGGCCUUACGCCUGAAUAAUGUUGCAUGGAAUAAUAGAAUAGGACCUCGGUUCUAUUUUGUUGGUUUUGUAGAGCAUUGAGGUAAUGAUUAAUAGGGACAGACGGGGGCAUUCGUAUUGCGGUGUUAGAGGUGAAAUUCUUGGAUCGCCGC